UACGUAGGGGGCUAGCGUUGUCCGGAAUUAUUGGGCGUAAAGCGCACGUAGGCGGCCUUGUAAGUCUCACUGUGAAAGUCCGGGGCUCAACCCCGGGAUGCCAGGGGAUACUGCGAGGCUGGAGACAAGCAGAGGUUGGUAGAAUUCCGGGUGUAGCGGUGGAAUGCGUAGAGAUCCGGAGGAAUACCAGAGGCGAAGGCGGCCAACUGGGCUUGUUCUGACGCUGAGGUGCGAAAGCGUGGGGAGCGAACAGG
This 254-nucleotide ribosomal RNA is filed under the name uncultured bacterium. Its description in RNAcentral is "partial 16S ribosomal RNA". It matches the Rfam family "Bacterial small subunit ribosomal RNA", at positions 524 to 776 of the family's 1533-position model. The record is from RNAcentral.